AGGGGAGAGGAGGGAGUGUAGGUAUUCAGCUCUGCACCAAACUGAAAUCCCCGUUCUUUAAUGCUUCUGCUUUGUACAGUGCUUAAGCCACAUUCUUUGCACAAAGCUAACUGCAAUGGUCGGCGCGCCUGUCUUCAGAAAUAUCGCAACAGAGAUUGUUGCCUUUUAGAGUGGCAUUUAAUUAGCGGGAUUUAGUCUGAAAUACCACUGAAGCACUUCCUUGCUAAUUAUGGCUUCAAAAUCCCUUCCUUUUGCAAUCUAGACGAGUGGGCUGUAGGAUCACCUGGUCGCAGGACCCUAAUGACACAGCUUUGGGUACCGCCUGGCAGGAGGGGGGGUCUCUGAAGGCGACAGCCUCCUCCAACAGAAGCACCAAGGAGCACCUUUCACUCCAGCAAUGCCUGGUCACGUCCUGGACACAGGAUCUCCCAGCUCCGAGGAGCCCCCCGUACUGCACCGAGCACCCCUACGGCUGCCCCUGCGUGACCCCCCAGGGCAGGCCCUCUGCUGAUGGCCAUGGGCACGCCUACGGGAGGUACGGCAGCAGAUAACCCAUGAAGACCUGUCCUCAAGCAUUUUUUGUCACGUCAGCGCGUUCUGUGGAUCACGUUUUAGGGGCCCUGGUAAGGAACAUGCUUUUCUGUUAGGCAACAUACAAAAAGCGCUGCAUUUUUUUAAGGAUGGUGUUUAAAAAACAAAACAAAAAGAAAACCCAAAUCCGCCAAAGUACUGUAAUCAUUGUUUAUGCAAACGGACAGAUAGCAUGGUCAGGGAGCUCAAUAAAUGGGGAAACAUAAUUUCCACUCUAAUUCUUGUAAAGAAUAUAAAAUUAAGGGCCUUAGCCCACCAAAUACAAACACAUACUGUAAAAAUAUUUUUCAAUUAAGCAUAACGUAGAUGAGUGCACGUCUCCAGAUAGGUAAAAAUACCACUGCCUUCAUACCAGUAUCACAUAUUUGAAUAGGUUGCAUAUAAACAAAAUCUUUCUUUGUUGUUCAGUCCAGGCUUGCUUUACUCUAAAGCAAGGGUGUUCCUAGUACAUCUUUUUUUUUUUUUUUGGUCUUUCUUCCUUUAAGAUAAACC
Long non-coding RNA from Cygnus olor (mute swan), 1083 nucleotides. RefSeq lists it as uncharacterized. The record is from RefSeq and is a predicted model, not a curated record. The transcript has 2 exons. NCBI's taxonomy places the organism in Eukaryota, Metazoa, Chordata, Aves, Anseriformes, Anatidae.